Molecule: ribosomal RNA, 484 nt
Filed under: uncultured bacterium
Lineage: Bacteria
Description: partial 16S ribosomal RNA
Rfam family: Bacterial small subunit ribosomal RNA
Source: RNAcentral
GUUGAACGCUGGCGGCAGGCCUAACACAUGCAAGUCGAGCGGAUGAAGGGAGCUUGCUCCUGGAUUCAGCGGCGGACGGGUGAGUAAUGCCUAGGAAUCUGCCUGGUAGUGGGGGAUAACGUCCGGAAACGGGCGCUAAUACCGCAUACGUCCUGAGGGAGAAAGUGGGGGAUCUUCGGACCUCACGCUAUUAGAUGAGCCUAGGUCGGAUUAGCUAGUUGGUGGGGUAAAGGCCUACCAAGGCGACGAUCCGUAACUGGUCUGAGAGGAUGAUCAGUCACACUGGAACUGAGACACGGUCCAGACUCCUACGGGAGGCAGCAGUGGGGAAUAUUGGACAAUGGGCGAAAGCCUGAUCCAGCCAUGCCGCGUGUGUGAAGAAGGUCUUCGGAUUGUAAAGCACUUUAAGUUGGGAGGAAGGGCAGUAAGUUAAUACCUUGCUGUUUUGACGUUACCAACAGAAUAAGCACCGGCUAACUUCGUG